This 253-nucleotide ribosomal RNA is filed under the name uncultured bacterium. Its description in RNAcentral is "partial 16S ribosomal RNA". It matches the Rfam family "Bacterial small subunit ribosomal RNA", at positions 524 to 776 of the family's 1533-position model. The record is from RNAcentral.
UACGUAUGGGGCAAGCGUUAUCCGGAUUUACUGGGUGUAAAGGGAGCGUAGGCGGCAGGGCAAGCCUGAUGUGAAAGCCCGGGGCUCAACCCCGGGACUGCAUUGGGAACUGCCCUGCUGGAGUGCCGGAGGGGCAGGCGGAAUUCCUAGUGUAGCGGUGAAAUGCGUAGAUAUUAGGAGGAACACCAGUGGCGGAGGCGGCUUGCUGGACGAAAACUGACGUUGAGGCUCGAAGGCGUGGGGAGCAAACAGG